This 253-nucleotide ribosomal RNA is filed under the name uncultured bacterium. RNAcentral's name for it is "partial 16S ribosomal RNA". It matches the Rfam family "Bacterial small subunit ribosomal RNA", at positions 524 to 776 of the family's 1533-position model. The record is from RNAcentral.
UACGUAGGGGGCAAGCGUUGUCCGGAUUUAUUGGGCGUAAAGAGCGUGUAGGCGGCUUUACAGGUCCGUUGUGAAAACUCGAGGCUCAACCUCGAGACGCCGGUGGAAACCGUAAAGCUAGAGUCCGGAAGAGGAGAGUGGAAUUCCUGGUGUAGCGGUGAAAUGCGCAGAUAUUAGGAGGAACACCCGUGGCGAAAGCGGCUCUCUGGGACGGUACUGACGCUGAGACGCGAAAGCGUGGGGAGCAAACAGG